RNAcentral lists this ribosomal RNA (255 nucleotides) under uncultured bacterium. Its description in RNAcentral is "partial 16S ribosomal RNA". It matches the Rfam family "Bacterial small subunit ribosomal RNA", at positions 74 to 334 of the family's 1533-position model. The record is from RNAcentral.
CAAACCAAAGCUGGCGACCGGCGCACGGGUGAGUAACACGUAUCCAACCUGCCUCAUACUCGGGGAUAGCCUUUCGAAAGAAAGAUUAAUAUCCGAUAGCAUAUAUUUCCCGCAUGGGUUUUAUAUUAAAGAAAUUCGGUAUGAGAUGGGGAUGCGUUCCAUUAGUUUGUUGGGGGGGUAACGGCCCACCAAGACGAUGAUAGGUAGGGGUUCUGAGAGGAAGGUCCCCCACAUUGGAACUGAGACACGGUCCAA